This 433-nucleotide ribosomal RNA is filed under the name uncultured bacterium. RNAcentral describes it as "partial 16S ribosomal RNA". It matches the Rfam family "Bacterial small subunit ribosomal RNA", at positions 29 to 507 of the family's 1533-position model. The record is from RNAcentral.
AACGAACGCUGGCGGCAUGCCUAACACAUGCAAGUCGAACGAUCCCUUCGGGGAUAGUGGCGCACGGGUGCGUAACGCGUGGGAACCUGCCCUUAGGUUCGGAAUAACUCAGAGAAAUUUGAGCUAAUACCGGAUAAUGUCUUCUGACCAAAGAUUUAUCGCCUUUGGAUGGGCCCGCGUUGGAUUAGCUUGUUGGUGGGGUAAAGGCCUACCAAGGCGACGAUCCAUAGCUGGUCUGAGAGGAUGAUCAGCCACACUGGGACUGAGACACGGCCCAGACUCCUACGGGAGGCAGGAGUGGGGAAUAUUGGAAAAUGGGCGAAAGCCUGAUCCAGCAAUGCCGCGUGAGUGAUGAAGGCCUUAGGGUUGUAAAGCUCUUUUACCCGGGAUGAUAAUGACAGUACCGGGAGAAUAAGCCCCGGCUAACUCCGUG